GGCUGGGUAGCAAAGCGGUUAUGCAGGGGCCUGCAAAGCCUUUUAGACCGGUUCGACUCCGGUCCCAGCCUCCA
Molecule: transfer RNA, 74 nt
Filed under: Candidatus Pseudothioglobus singularis PS1
Lineage: Bacteria; Pseudomonadati; Pseudomonadota; Gammaproteobacteria; Pseudothioglobaceae (SeqCode)
Also listed under: 11 other names
Description: Candidatus Thioglobus singularis PS1 tRNA-Cys
Rfam family: tRNA
About the family: Transfer RNA (tRNA) molecules are approximately 80 nucleotides in length. Their secondary structure includes four short double-helical elements and three loops (D, anti-codon, and T loops).
Source: RNAcentral